This is a long non-coding RNA of Anguilla rostrata (American eel), 628 nucleotides long. RefSeq lists it as uncharacterized. The transcript has 3 exons. NCBI's taxonomy places the organism in Eukaryota, Metazoa, Chordata, Actinopteri, Anguilliformes, Anguillidae. The record is from RefSeq and is a predicted model, not a curated record.
CAUACAUCUUUGAACCAAAGCCUAUAUCAUGUUUGGGAGCAUGCUACAGGACUGCGUGCGCCCACUGUGCAGUGCCUUAAACGGUCAACUAUGCUAUAUUUGAAUGUGCUGCUUAUGUAGAGGAGAGGCUGUGACUGAGAAAGGCGGUUGAGAUGAGAAGUAGCCUAGCUGUGGUCUUUUGUGCCUGAACUCUCCUGUUGACCUACACAUGAUGUGGAUGAUGGAUAGAACACAUUCCCCUGGACUGUCUGCACCAUGGUACCGUCAUCAGUUUGUUCCAGGCUGAGAAAAAGACUGUCAGACUUGAGACUGGAGCUGAGAAGUGUUUCCCUGUUCUUGGAGGGUGCCCAAGUCCUUCUUUGUGCGCAACUGGCAUAAGAAGUCCAAACCAAGUGUGGCACCCUGCCAGGUCCUAGAGGCAGAAAUGCUGGCAUUAGAGACUAGAAUGUUAAUGGGGGGUUUGUCUGUGUUCUGAAGAGACCUAUCAAGGAGUGUAUCAUUCUAAUCAUUUUUUUAACACAAUGAAAACAAAGGAUUUGCAAACUUGCAAGAAAUUAGGAAACAACACAAAACCUCCACAAAAGUUAUCUGCAACCAUUGAAAGUAGGGAUGUUACAUUCCAUACUCA